RNAcentral lists this ribosomal RNA (1654 nucleotides) under Rasbora pauciperforata (red-stripped rasbora). RNAcentral describes it as "16S ribosomal RNA". The stretch from base 95 to 1563 matches the Rfam family "Bacterial large subunit ribosomal RNA". The record is from RNAcentral. Lineage: Eukaryota; Metazoa; Chordata; Actinopteri; Cypriniformes; Danionidae.
GCCAAAUAACUAGCCUAAUAACCAACACAACUUCACACCAUAUAUAAACUAAUAUAUAACCAAACCAAUUAACUAAACCAUUCUUAACCUUAGUAUGGGAGACAGAAAAGGCCACAUAGAGCAAUAGAAAAAGUACCGCAAGGGAACGUUGAAAGAGAAAUGAAACAACCCAUAUAAGCCAAAAAAACCAAAGACUAAACCUUGUACCUUUUGCAUCAUGAUUUAGCUAGUCAACUCAAGCAAAGAGAACUUUAGUUUAGAACCCCGAAACCAAGUGAGCUACCCCGAGACAGCCUAAAUUAAUUUAGGGCCAACCCGUCUCUGUGGCAAAAGAGUGGGAAGAACUCUGGGUAGAGGUGACAGACCUAUCGAACUUGGUGAUAGCUGGUUGUCUAGGAAGUGAAUAUAAGUUCAGCCUCGUAUAACCCAAACCAAAAUUAUAAUUAAGGCACACAGGCAAAAUACGAGAGUUAGUUUAAGGAGGUACAGCCCCUUAAACAAAGGACACAACCUUAACAGGAGAAUAAAGAUUAUAUUACCUAAAACAUAUUGUCCCAGUGGGCCUAAAAGCAGCCACCUAAACAGAAAGCGUUAAAGCUCAAACAAACAAAAGUUUAUUAUACCUAUAAACAAUCUUACUUCCCCAAAAAUACUAGACCACUCCAUGCACCCAUGGAAGAGAUUAUGCUAAAAUGAGUAACAAGAAGAACUUAACCUUCUCCAAGCACAAGUGUAAGUCAGAUCGGACCAACCACUGACAAUUAACGAACCCAAACAAAGAGGGAAAUAUGAAUAACACAAAAAUCAAGAAAACCCCAUACCUCGUAAUCGUUACCCCCACACUGGCAUGCAUUAAAGGAAAGACUAAAAGAAUCAAGGAAGGAACUCGGCAAACCCAAGCCUCGCCUGUUUACCAAAAACAUCGCCUCCUGCAAACUUAAGUAUAGGAGGUCCAGCCUGCCCAGUGACCACAAGUUUAACGGCCGCGGUAUUUUAACCGUGCAAAGGUAGCGCAAUCACUUGUCCUUUAAAUAGGGACCUGUAUGAAUGGUUAGACGAGGGCUUAACUGUCUCCCUUUUCCAGUCAGUGAAAUUGAUCUAUCCGUGCAGAAGCGGGUAUAACUAUACAAGACGAGAAGACCCUUUGGAGCUUAAGGUACAAGACUCACCCAUGUAAAACAAGCUUUUAUAAACCCCUAAACUUAAUGGAAAAUGAAACUUUACCUUCGGUUGGGGCGACCACGGAGAAAAAAACAGCCUCCAAGUGGAAUGGAUAUUAUCCAAAACUAAGACGCACACCUCUAAGUAACAGAACAUCUGACCAAACUUGACCCGGCCACAAAGCCGAUCAACGAACCAAGUUACCCAAGGGAUAACAGCGCAAUCCCCUUCCAGAGUCCAUAUCGACGAGGGGGUUUACGACCUCGAUGUUGGAUCAGGACAUCCUAAUGGUGCAGCCGCUAUUAAGGGUUCGUUUGUUCAACGAUUAAAGUCCUACGUGAUCUGAGUUCAGACCGGAGUAAUCCAGGUCAGUUUCUAUCUGUAACGCCACUUUUCCUAGUACGAAAGGAUCGGAAAAGAGGGGCCAACCCAACAAGUGCGCCCCGCCCCAAAUUAAUGAACCAAAAUUAAUUAAAUAAAAGGGAGCAUAAGU